RNAcentral lists this ribosomal RNA (399 nucleotides) under uncultured bacterium. RNAcentral describes it as "bacterial SSU rRNA". It matches the Rfam family "Bacterial small subunit ribosomal RNA", at positions 28 to 419 of the family's 1533-position model. The record is from RNAcentral.
GAUGAACGCUAGCGGCAGGCUUAAUACAUGCAAGUCGAGGGGCAGCAGGAAUAGCAAUAUUUGCUGGCGACCGGCGCACGGGUGCGUAACACGUAUACAAUCUGCCUUUUACAGGGGGAUAGCCUUUCGAAAGAGAGAUUAAUACCCCCAUAAUAGUUGUUCAGGCAUCUGAAUAAUUUGAAAGCUCCGGCGGUAAAAGAUGAGUAUGCGUCUGAUUAGCUAGUAGGUGAGGUAACGGCUCACCUAGGCCACGAUCAGUAGGGGAUCUGAGAGGACUACCCCCCACACGGGAUACCUGAGACACGGAUCCGACUCCUACGGGAGGCAGCAGUAAGGAAUAUUCGGACAAUGCCCGCAAGGGUGAUCCAGCCCAUGCCGCGUGCACGGAAGACGGCCCUA